AUACUGGAGAUUCCAGGGCAGCUUUCAGAUAAAAUACCUCCAUUAAAAAAACCGAAUAUGAACAUGAAUACAGUCAGUACAUAGUUCCUCGUGCUACUGAACACAAUAGUUAAUUGUAUACUGACUGUACAUUUUUAAUGGGAUGCAGACCUGUCGGCUGAAAACACACAGUGGCACUAUGGAAAGCAGGGUGUCCCAUUCUGAACCCGAUGUCUCUCAUCCUCUGCCUGGACGCAACAGAUGUUUGGAGCUAUGGAGGUCAGCUUUCCAGUGGAGGAAAAACCAGUGACAGGGAGUCUGGGUAUACUAAAGCACGCAGACUCUUACAAGAACACAAUAGUCCGGUCACAACAGUGUGCAGGCAAACCCUUCUUCCAGAAAUCUCUGCACCGAAGCCCGGUUUCUCUGGAAGCAACUCGGCACUGAGACUGAGGCAGAGCACAAGCUCCCCCGCUCACCGCAUCUUCUCUCAAAGGAUCCUUGCGUAACCAAACGAAUGAUUACAUAAGCAUUUCUACCAAGAAUAAAAACUUGUUUGCAUGCCAAGAAAUAGCUCUUAGAAGAGGUGUAGCCUUGUUAUGGCGGAGGUCACCAAGAGGCCCUACUUUGUACCGCUAUAGUCUGAACACUUUGCCAACAGUUGGCACAUCAUCUUUGUCACUGUACAGUAGUUACCUGCUCUGGACUGCCAUAACCGAGGAGGCUGUCUCAUUGUCAAGAGACGUAGGCAGGUAGGAAUUUAAACUCCAGUCACUUUCACUAAGGCAUAUUUGAAAAAUUUUCCAGGCUGACCUGACAUCAGUUUAAUUCACUGACUACAGUUAAUCCCUUUGUUCCUUUAAUAAAUCAUUUGUAAAUGUGAAACAUGUCUUGAUAAUUUUAUGUAGCCAAAACAUUUAAGGUUUUGUUUAAUAAAAAUAAAUGGUAUAUGCUGCUUUGUCUAAAUUCCAGGUACCAUCCUAAUGCAGCUUGACACACAUCAUGAGCAAAAAGUUGAUCUAGUAAAUAAGCACUAUAUCAUUCACCACUUGCUAACAUACUAAACAUGUACAAUUAAUAAGAACCUGAAAAUAUUGAGCUAUGUAAUUGCUUAAAUAAAUGUUUAUAGUUAUAAUGUAUCCUCUGAGGUAGCAAAGAGAUCACUAAAUUUGGUGUAAAGGCUCUAUUUAGUUUUAAAUCAAUAUGCUUUAAUAGUUAUACCAACCAAUGAGAAUGCAUCUUUCUUCAAAAAAAAAAAUGAAAGUACAAAUGGAAAAGAUUAAAAUAGUUUAUUUAAAAUUGCCUUGAUUUAAAUCAAUCCACGCUGGGUGAAACAAAUUGCACCAUCUCCUUUGGUAGCUAAGAAGAGACAAGAGACACAACUACAUAAGACUACUGGACGUUUCAGAGAUGCAAGAAAGGAGAAAUAGCUUAUUUGUGGAUCUAUAGGUAGCAGCCACUCUGCAUUCCUCAAAACCACCCUGGGAGCUGACUGGAAACAAUGAGCAGUUUCACAAUCGUCUCACGUCACGUAAGGAAGUUACUAAAAAUAGAUGAGCACCUGAUCCAUGGACUCAUAAGGAAGUGCAGGAGAGUUAGGAGUCUUGCCUUAGGUCAAAGCCAGCAAGCAUAUCCUCCUCCAGUGACACGUACCCUGGCCCAAACCCUGUUAUUCAUUCUUGCUCCUUUCAGCUGAAAAUCCAUGGAAAUCAGAUGAACUGGCAGAUGCAUUCUUUACAUUAAGACAGCAUAACAGCUGCGUACUGGUGGUCAGAUCGGUUGUCAACUCACAUCCCAAGUAAUUCUACAGGAAAUUAACAACAGCACCUGAAGAACACCACUGAAUAAGCUUGAAAGCUUGUCUCAACACCAACAGAAGUUGGUUCAAUAUCAGGUAUUACCUCACCCAUCUUGUCUCUCUAAUAUCAUGGAACAAACAGGAUUACAACCACACUGAAAACAGCAAAGUCUUUCAAGGCUAGUUACCAGGAGACUUCUGAAGUUCGAACGAUCAUUAGAUACGAAGGUCAAGUGUCUAAACCACCUCCUUCAGCCAUUCCUAAGGAUUUUAAUUGUCUGCUGCAGAUUACUGCUGAUUAGUUUGAAAUUAAAUUUCAGAAAGAAUCAAAUCACAUGCUGCUAUGAAUGGUUAGUUGCUUUAGGAAGCAAAUAGCUUUUACUUCAGUAAAAAUGGCUUGC
Chrysemys picta bellii (western painted turtle) is the source of this 2178-nucleotide non-coding RNA. NCBI's taxonomy places the organism in Eukaryota, Metazoa, Chordata, Testudines, Emydidae. The record is from RefSeq and is a predicted model, not a curated record.